ACACUGAUUCACACCCACACCAUUGCUGUUUUCGUGCUAACACCUGCGCCACCCAUGCAUCUAACCGUUCACGCCAUCUGGUUUUCCGAUACUUUAAACCAUUGACUAAGUACAAGAUAGACCUAAUAUUCGAUUUUGUUAUUUGGAACUAAAAGGAACUUGGAAUAUAGAAGUAGACUAAAAUCUCAAAUUCAAUUUAAGCUUGGUAAAAUCCAAAAUGACUUCGUAAAAAUCUAGAAACUGUAGAUGCCAAUCUAUUAGAAGAAUUAAGCAUAAGAAGAAUCUUUCCAAACUCGCGAGCGAAUUGCCUUCUCGUAACAGGCGAUGGGUGAAUCAGAAUUAUCGUCGAAUCAGAAAUAGAACGUCGUGCAAUAUUGGCGACACCAUACGGAGUUAGUCGAAAGCAGACGUUUAAUGGCGAUUCGAAAAAGAGUGGCAAAUCGCUGCACUGUAGUACACAGAAGAAAUAUUAGCUUCACUUGUCUUACAGUCUAAUACAUUAAAUAUAAGAGUACUGUAAUUUUUUUUUAAUAAUAUUCAGAAAAAAUAAAUUUAUUUGGUUCGUUCACGCCGUUUACAGUUAAAGGGAGUAUGGGACGAAAGCUCGGGGGCUAAUUAGGAUGAUAAGAUCGCAAAAGGAGCGCUUAAAAGAUACAAUUGAUUCAUAUAUUUGCCUAUGUCGUAUGCUACUGCUCUCUUUGAACACAAGAAACGCAUCUGUCCUUGUUGCACAUUACAACCCUCUUUGUCUAGGACCCUUCAUAUAGUCUGUUCUUGCCGCAUAAUCUUGUGUUCUUUGUCUACGGACAAACCACGUAAUGCCAUCUAUCCUCGCAUGCCCCAAGUCGCUGUUCCUUCCACCUUCGGUAGAUGGCAGCACAUGGUUUGUCGCACAAUCUUGUAUUCUUUGUCUACGGACACACCAUGUGGUGCCAUCUAUCCUCGCAUUCCCCAAGUCGCUGUUCCUUCCUCCUUCAACAGAUGUCAGCACAUGAUUUGUUCGUAGACAAAGAGCGCAAACUUGUGCGAUAAGGACACGAAUAUAUAAACAUAUUAGGCAGAGGAAGCGAUACUGUGCAAUAAGGACAGAUAUAUAUUUAUUGUUACACGAAGACAGCGGUAGUAUACGGCAAAGAUAAACAAUACGAGCAAUACUAGACGAGAAGGUUUUGCAACGUGCGAAUUUUAUUGACAAGAACUGUUGAGUCAAACAUGGCUGUUCUAAGCAAUGGUUUGUUGAUGUUUUUUUAAUUUUCUUCCAAACACAAUUUCAAAUGCAACUUUUAAAACACAAAAUUUGUGGCAUGCGAAUUAAGCAGAAAUAAGUUUUCAAUUGUUACGAAUCUGGGCUUCCAGAAUUUCUGCUUGGACGAUCUAGCAUACAACAUAAAUCUUAGGUAACGCCAAGCCAUCCACCGCGCCUAAUACUAGGCAACUCUCCAUCCGCCUUUCAUUUUUCUUCCGUCCCACUUAUGCAAAUGUCUAUACAUACUCAUUUAUAGCUUUAAGACGGGUUGUAAACGGAUUUGUAAACGUAAUUUAUAAGAAUUUCAUUAUAAAAGUAUAGCAAGACUUACAUUAUUAUGUAUAUACAUUUAGACUAUCGUAUUUUUUCGCGUAUUAAUUACUUUUAAGUAGAAUUGAAUCAAUUAUUAAUGGUUAAGAAUAUCAUGAGACGCACAGAGUUAAGCUAUAUUAUUAUUAAGUUAUAUUAAUAUUCGUAAUAGAGUUUAUACAAUUUAUAUAAUUUGUACACUGUACAUUACUGAAUUAUUUCAGUAAACGUUUAAUUAAAGUUAAUCAGCAGUUUAAUCAUUUCAUCGCCUGCCCAACUAUCGUAGUAUAGUUGGCCUGGCCAAUCCUAAUCCUUUAACGAGAAAUAAGGUAGCGGAACUGUAAAACAAAGCUCUAAAAUUCGAAUCUCGAAAAAUAGCCUUGUUCACCAUUAAGUUCGCGUAAUUCACGAUGAAUGGGUCGUUUUCUAAAAUUCCCGCUGUUAUUGGAAAUGACGUCACAUUCCAGGCUUUCGUCAAAGUUGAUAUUUUCGAUCAAAUUGUAGGACCGCUUUUGCGAUUUUGUAUCAGGAAAACAUGACGUCACAGGAAGUGGCACGAAUCCGGCGAUUUUUGGAAAUGACGUCAUAUUUAAGGAAUUCUGGCGAUUCACGAACCAAGGUUUUCGAUGUUUUUUUAUCAGGAAAACAGGACGUCACAGGAGGUGGAGCAAAUUCAGCGAUUCUGGAAAAUGACGUCAUAUCUAGGAAUUGUGGCGAUUCUGAAAAAUGACGUGACAUUCUAGGAAUUUGCUUAAAUUUUACUUCAAUUUUCGAAGCUUUCGAAGAUCUCUUAUCAGGAGAACAUGACAGCAUAGAAGUUGGCACAAUUUUUACGAUUCCCGGAAAUAACGUCAUACUCCUGGAAUUUUUCGGAAUCGUCUUGGGUGAUCCUAAUUAUUUCCCAAUUUAAUUUUUUGUUUUGUUUAGGAUUUCGGAUAGUGAAAAAUAUAAAUAACAAGAUUGUAAAA
Bombus huntii is the source of this 2523-nucleotide long non-coding RNA. RefSeq lists it as uncharacterized. Lineage: Eukaryota; Metazoa; Arthropoda; Insecta; Hymenoptera; Apidae. The transcript has 2 exons. The record is from RefSeq and is a predicted model, not a curated record.